AUACGUAGGGGGCAAGCGCUAUCCGGAAUUACUGGGUGUAAAGGGCGUGUAGGCGGGCUGUUAAGUCAGAUGUGAAAUUCCCGGGCUUAACCUGGGCGCUGCAUUUGAAACUGAUGGUCUUGAGUGCUGGAGAGGAAAGCGGAAUUCCUAGUGUAGCGGUGAAAUGCGUAGAUAUUAGGAGGAACACCAGUGGCGAAGGCGGUCAACUGGCCUGUGACUGACGCUCAGUCACGAAAGCGUGGGGAGC
RNAcentral lists this ribosomal RNA (247 nucleotides) under uncultured bacterium. Its description in RNAcentral is "partial 16S ribosomal RNA". It matches the Rfam family "Bacterial small subunit ribosomal RNA", at positions 523 to 769 of the family's 1533-position model. The record is from RNAcentral.